GCACGAGUAGCUCAAUUGGAUAGAGCACUGGUCUACGGAACCAGCGGUUGGAGGUUCGAAUCCUCCCUCGUGCA
This 74-nucleotide transfer RNA is filed under the name Planctomycetota bacterium. Its description in RNAcentral is "Planctomycetes bacterium tRNA-Arg". It matches the Rfam family "tRNA". From Rfam's summary of the family: Transfer RNA (tRNA) molecules are approximately 80 nucleotides in length. Their secondary structure includes four short double-helical elements and three loops (D, anti-codon, and T loops). Further hydrogen bonds mediate the characteristic L-shaped molecular structure. tRNAs have two regions of fundamental functional importance: the anti-codon, which is responsible for specific mRNA codon recognition, and the 3' end, to which the tRNAs corresponding amino acid is attached (by aminoacyl-tRNA synthetases). tRNAs cope with the degeneracy of the genetic code in two manners: having more than one tRNA (with a specific anti-codon) for a particular amino acid; and 'wobble' base-pairing, i.e. permitting non-standard base-pairing at the 3rd anti-codon position. Lineage: Bacteria; Pseudomonadati; Planctomycetota. The record is from RNAcentral.